Molecule: ribosomal RNA, 258 nt
Filed under: uncultured bacterium
Lineage: Bacteria
Description: partial 16S ribosomal RNA
Rfam family: Bacterial small subunit ribosomal RNA
Source: RNAcentral
AUUGAACGCUGGCGGCGUGCCUAACACAUGCAAGUCGAGCGGCAGCGCGGGAGCAAUCCUGGCGGCGAGCGGCGGACGGGUGAGUAACGCUUGGGAAUCUGCCUGUUAGUGGGGGACGAACCCGGGAAACGUCGGGCGUAAUACCGCAUACGCACUACGGUGGAAAGCCGGGGACCGCAAGGCCUGGCGCUAACAGAUGAGCCCAAGUCGGAUUAGCUAGUUGGUAGGGUAACGGCCUACCAAGGCGACGAUCCGUAA